GCAGAAUGUGAACGAAAUUAUUUUACGAACAUAAAUACAUAAAAAAAGAACCUUUAUAAAUGUAUUUUCACCGUGUUUAAUGAAAUCUUGAAUACCAUAUGAUAAUGUCGAUCGUGGCAGUAUUCGUCGUCAUUUCACGUUCUACAAUGACUAAGCAAA
This 159-nucleotide long non-coding RNA is filed under the name Polistes fuscatus (common paper wasp). RNAcentral describes it as "uncharacterized LOC122524882". Lineage: Eukaryota; Metazoa; Arthropoda; Insecta; Hymenoptera; Vespidae. The record is from RNAcentral.